AGUUUGACUCCAGAAUCCAUGCUCUUGUCUAGCCUCCUUGCCUCAUUGCAUCCUGGUGCUCUUUCCAAAGUGUAAGUUCUCGCUUCCGCUGUCCAGGCCUGCCUUUUUUCUCCCUAAUCACUCAUAUGUCCAUUAUCCCAUCUCCCCCACUGCAGAGUAUAACAAAGCCAUCCGGAACUACACCCGCUUCGAUGACUGGUACCUGUGGGUUCAGAUGUACAAGGGGACUGUGUCCAUGCCAGUCUUCCAGUCCUUGGAGGCCUACUGGCCUGGUCUUCAGGUAGGAAUGAUCAAAGAAUGUGAUCAUCUUUCUAUGAGUCUGGCAAAGCAAGCUCAUUCUGAUGUAUAAGUCAAAUAAUGUACUUUGUUAAUUGCUUGAGUACUUUUUUUGGAGGGACAGGUUGAGGAUGGAAGAGAGACCUAGAGUGAAUUAGAUAGAUUUAGAGUUCUGCCAAAUUGAGUGUCAGGAACUGAGCUUCCAGUUUGC
This 487-nucleotide long non-coding RNA is filed under the name Homo sapiens (human). Its description in RNAcentral is "non-protein coding lnc-TRPC4AP-6:1". The record is from RNAcentral. Lineage: Eukaryota; Metazoa; Chordata; Mammalia; Primates; Hominidae.